AACUUAACCACUUGGCCACAGAGCUGGCCCCUAUAUUUAAUUUAUAAUUUAAAAUUAUUAAUUAUAAAGGUAGAAUAGAUAGCUUUAACAAAUAUCACUUAAACAAAAUUUAAUUUCAAACACUUGAAAGGUGAAAUAUGUAUAUAACUGAGGUUUGUUUAGGGAUAAGAUCAGGAAGCUUUUAAAGUGUGAUUGGAUUUUUGUAUUUGGUUUAUAUAUUUGUUUUUCUCCCUAAUGUUCCUAAAGUAUUCCUGGGGGAUACUCACAUUUUGUGUCACCCAAGGUGAUGUAUUCUCAAACUCUGACCUUCCUCAAGCCUAGGGAACUUCUGCUGUGCUCCCCAACUCGUCUCGUGUUCUUCUUUCCUAAUGCUGUACUUUUAGUCUCAAGGUUAAUUCUUGUGGGAAGCAAAGAAGGGUAAAGAAAUGAGGAACCUUUGCCUUCCUGAGACUUUGCUUCCUGGAGUGCCCCUCUUCACUCCCCCACCAUCUUUCUUUCUCCCCUCACUUCCCACUCUCCAGUCUAUCUCCUCCUCUAGAUUGGGAGAGAUGGAAAAUGCUGAGGUCACAGGUAGAAAUCGGGCCAGCCUCAGCAGUUCUUGUUCUGUUUGAUUUUCCUCUUGAUCUCUUGCCUACUUGCCAGCUGGUAUUUCUGGCAAUAGAAUGCUCAUAAUGGAAAUAUGAAAAGUCCAGCCAAACCUAUGUGUAUGCUGAAAAGUCUAACCUUUAAACUUGUACAUUGCUUAAUCCUAAGAAGCGUUGGUUUUGGACCCAUUCUGCACUGUUUUAUAUUCCUAAGGGAUAGUUAGCAUCCAUUUUGACUCUCCUCCAUUUGUUUCUCAAGUAUAGUUUUAUAAAUGCCCUAUUUUUAAAAUUAUUCCUCCAAAGCACAUUCCAGACAAAACCACACUAAUUUCUAAAGGGCAUUUUUUUUUUUUUUUUUGGUGAAAAGCUGAAUUUGCAAAUAACCAUGUAAUUCCAUUUGUUGUAUCCUUAGAGCACCUUGCUGUUCUUUUGCUUCAAAGAUUCUGACAGCUUGGCACUAGUCAACUUUGAUUAGAGCGAGUUUUCUACCAGCGUAGGAAGAAGCAGCUUUGCCACCAUCACUGAGCAAGAUAGAUUCUGUUGGGAAGACUAAACUGUGUCUUAGUGAUCUCGCUUUCAGGAGGAUAUGAGAAACAGAUUCACAUCUAGUAUAAUCUUCUGGUGCAGAAAUUAUUACCCAGAAGCCAAGAGAGAAACAUAUCACGUUUAUUUAAUUCUCAUAUUCUCUCCUACUUGGAGUUCUUUGAAAACGGACUGACUUAAUUUUGAGGAAAUGAUAUUGUUUUCUGAGAUACUGAAUUUAAAAAACAAAACAAAACGUUUCUAACCUGUUUUGUUCUCGGGGAUUUUUGCUCCAGCUUUCACAUAGUGCUUCACCCAGUUCCUCUAAGAAGGCACUUUAAUGAAGUUGCUUUUUAUGAGCCACACAGUAUAAUUAGGCAAUCACCCUUGUGUGUAGAGUCCACUAGGGGAAAAAGGUGGCAGAAUUGCACAAUGGACUCGUUAUAAAACAGCACAAAUUAAAAACCUGAGCUUACCAGUUAAAGGAAAGACAGCCAAAAACAUACUGUAAAAUAUUAAUGCAUGAAAGAUGAAAGUAAAAAUCAUCUUUAAUAGAAUGUGUUGGUCAAUUGGGAUCAGGAGUAAUUGGUUAAUUGAAAAGAUAAGUUAAUGAAAAAGGCAGUAAAACAGGACAGUUAUUAAAAAUGAUACACACAUGCCUUAAACAUUUUAUUUUAUAUUAAGUAUGUAAGUGCUGAUUCACCAGUACUUUGAGAUUGCCCCAUGGUGUUUUCUUUGAUUAUGGUUGAACUGAUUUGAAUUCCUGAAGAAAUCACACUCUUGAUCUAUGAUUUCUAAUUUUAGUGUCUUUAAGUAGAGCAGAACUUAAAAGAUGUAACCAAUCUGAGUGCAGAAUCCUUCUUGAUUUUUAUGGCAUUUUCUCCCGAUCUUUUAUGGUGCAAGAACACACAUAUUCAAAGGAGUAUUUUUAGCCAUUUGCCUUUAUCAAGUUUUUUCAAAUCACUCUAUCCAUUUUUCAUAGAAAUAACAACUCUUUUUUGCAAUUAUACUUGUGAUUUCAAGAAUAGUUAAAUUACAUAAUUAAAAUAGCAAGUACAACUUGUAUAAACAAGAUUGGGGGCAUGUGUUGGUAAGAACUGAACUCCACACGUGGACAAUCUAUGAGAGUAGCCCAGCCACGUGGUCAGCUUCCCAUGGGCAUCCAUCACGUUCCUCUGUAAAACAGAAGAAAUAAAAAAAGAGUCGGCUAAUUGAAUCAUUCUGAUCCAUAGAUAUCACUAAAAUAAAUGGAAUGACUUUUUUAUUUUUAAGGAAACUUUUAUUUCAGAAUAGUUUCAUAUUUAUGAAAGAGUUGCAAAGAUAGUACAGGAAGUUCCUGUGUAAUCCACACCCAGGUUUCUCUUACUUAGCAUCCCACAUUAGUUUGGUACAUUUGUUAUAAUUAAUGAACUAAUAUUGCUACAUUAUUAUUAAUCAAAGUCCAUACUUUAUUGGGAUUUCAUUAAUUUUUACCUAACAUUCUUUGUCUGCUCUGGGAUCUCAUCCAGGAUACCAUGUUACAGUAGUCAUGUCUCCUUAAGCUUCUCUGGAAUGACAGUUUUGCAAGCUUUCCUUGUUUUUGAUGACCUUGACAGUUUUAAGGAGCACUGGUCUAGUGUUUUGUAGUAUGUUCCUCAAUUUGGAUUUUUCUCAUGUUUUCCUCAUGUUUAGCCUGAGAUUAUGGGUUUUUGGGAGGAAGAUCCCAGAGGUAAAGUGACAUUCUCAUCACAUCAUGUGAAGGGUACCUAUCAAUAAUAUCAAACAUGACUUAUCACUGUUGAUGUUGGCCUUGAUCACCUGGCCUGCAUUGUGUAGUCAGGUUUCUCCUCAGCUGCAUUUCUGUGAUUUUUAUACUCGAAUGGUUUACUACACUCAGAUGGGAAAUGUGCAGAUAGGUAAAUUCUUUCAACCAUGUCCUCUUCAUGAUAGAAUUAGAUAGUUUGACCUCUUUAUGAGGAUUUCGUAAAGAGCUGAAAGAAGUACACUUCAUGUCGUCUUAGCAUUCCUACCAAAGGCCAAUUUUGCUGUCUUGUUUCCUGUUUCUUGAGCUUUAGUACGUAACUGAGGGAAACACAGGCUCCAAAGAUGUUUUUUGGCAGUGGUUUGGAAGGAAAACAGAGCACUAUGGUUGCACACUUGUGCUUCUGCAGUUGCAUGAUUCAGGAUUUCAAGCUCAAGACUAAAUAUACCAUUCCUGGGUUCAGUUUUAUUUGAAUCUGUGGUUAGUAUUUUAUGACAAUUUAAAGUUUUUCAUACUACUCUUGAGUGCAUUUAGCAAAAAUGUACAUGAUAAUCACAUUGCAGUGUUUCAGUGGAUGAACAAGGCCGGUUAAGCGUUGCUAAGUCCAUUGUCCUAUUUGCAGACUAUUCCUAAGAUGGAAAGUGAUUCCAAUAUGGUGUAGAGAAAAGUUUUGUGACAUUGACCUAAGCUGCCGACCACAACAGCUCGUAUCUCAUACUUUACAGAAGAAGUUGCACAAAACCUGAGAAACAAUCUUUUAGUAAAGAAUCAGACUCCUACACUACAUCAAUCUAGUGGAAACAUUUUAAUAUAGAACACAAAGAGAUCUCUAAAACCCAGAGACCAUCUGUUGCCUUUCUGGGCCUGGAGAUAACAUGAGAAUGUUACACAAACUUCCUUUUACCUAAAUUUCUCUGACAAGAAUGUGAAAACUAUUCAUUUUAGAAUUGAAAUUCAUUUACUUCACUUAAAUAAGAAUGGUUUCCUAACCCUUAAAAAAACCAAGAAACAGUGGCCUGGCAUUUUAAACAUAGUCCUACAAUAUCAGUACGAAAGGAAAAUAAGACUGAGGCCAAUUCUUUUCAGGGUUUUCUCUUCUGUGGUCCCAAAGGACUUUAUUUUUCAACUCCAUCUUGGCUGAAUAUGGAACUCAUGCGUCUGUUUCCCAGAUAUCUCCAGAUCACUUCACUGUAAACUUGACCUUGAGCAGCCGAAUGAUGUUUCUAAUUCUACAUUUCUCUCCCUGAAUAUCCAUGAAAGAUUGCUGUACCUAUGACAGGUUCAUGAUUCUUUCCCCCUCUGUGCACUUAAUUUGUGUAUUAUUGUAUCAUAUGACAUUUUGAAUCAAGUGCUGCUAGUACCAAUCUGCUAUCAGCAGCUGAUGCCAAAAAUAUUCAUUAUAACACUUCUCAGCAUGCAAGUGAGAGCACUUCAAAUCAGAGAGGGAGAAUUUCCAGUCAUUGUUGUUUUCUUUUUUGCAUAUUACACAACAAAAUGAAUGCAAACAAAAGGACGUUUAUUAGAAAAUAAUGCCUUGGUAAAAUGUUGUAAAACAUGUGAUUCAUUGUUUGCGAAGGCCGUGCGAAAUUCAGUGCUGCAUUGUAGAUACCAUCUCAGAGGCCUUGUUGCCCUUCUUUUCUCUUUUCCCAAAUGUUUUUCAAGUAGCAUUUUUUUUAGUCUUUGAUUAUCUUAAGCUAUUUACAUAUCUGGAAGGAGGCAGCGCCCUCAGCAGAGAACCAUGAAAUGAGCUCCGCAGCCUACCUUUGCUUUAGCUAAGGCCCCUUUCUGUCAGGACGCAGGUCACGACCAGUGCAGGACUCAGGUAGCCACAAGGAGAAUGGGAGGCUUUCUUCUCUAAAGGAGGACAGUUAAAAAACAAAUUCAAUAAGUAAGGUUUGUCAUUUUCUAAUGUUGAGAGUGCUGAGCCUGCAAGUAUCAGCAAAUUUCUUGUAAAUUAAUUCAUUUUACAAAGUGAACACUGAGACUUGGUCGCCAACUGACAAGAUGCCAGAAAAUGUCAUGGCAAAGAAGAGAGAGCCUUCAGUGGCAAUUUGGAACACCUGACCUCUCAUUUUCCCCAUCUUCUGGAAGAGGAAACAUGGAGCCUGUUGACUGGGAGAUGAAAAGAGUGGUGGUUACCAGAAGUGGAAAAGUGGGAUUGGCCAGGGGACUGCAAUUUUCCAAUUCUUCUUCUUCUGCCUGAAGAACUGGGGAUGGGUAAUCUUCCCUCCCUCCUUCGCUGACCCCAGAGAGACAAUGAACAAGGGCUGAAGUUGGGCAAAGGUCAUUUUCAUCUCAGCUUGAUGAACACACACCAAGUGCUCCUUAAAUCUAUGCUUCCUGCACAAAGUGCUGUGACCUCAGUCUACUGGAGAGGGCCAAACGUCACCUGUGUCACCUGGAAAGAAAUUAGCACUAUUGCUAUGGUCUACUGCAUUCAGAAGAGAUCCAAAACCACCCCUUGGCUCUCUUUGCUGUCUUCUGCUUCACCUGUUCUGUUGUUCAUUAUAUGGGUUGACUCCAUAUUUUUAAAAAGGUAUUUCAUAUAGAGGUGUUUCUUUUCCUGCUGAAUUUCAAGCCCAUUGUUGUAGGUGAGGUGAUUUCUUUUGUCUGGUGUAUAAUGUUUUGCUAACUUUUGACUUGGAAAUCACAAAGUCUUACCAAAGCCUUAAAGGAGAAGCUAAAAAUUCAAGUUUAUUGACUACUUUGUAGGUGUCUAAUAUCAUAGUUCAUACUGUAUAUAUGAAAGCCCAGAACAAGCUGAUGUGCGUGUCUUUAAGAAAACUCAUAAUCUUAGCUGUGGAAAUGGUUUAGGAUAGUGAUCUCACAUUUUCCUAUUACAUUUGAAAUCCUAGAAGAUAAUAAUGUGAAAGACUUACCCUCAAGAAGAAUAAUAUAUUUAAAUCUGCUUUGAAAAUAUUUAGAAAUUUCCGUAUUUAUUUUGCUUUGGAGUAUAUAUUAGGAAAUGUUUUGUGGGUAAAAUUUGACUCCUUUGAAACCCCAUGAGUUUUUGUCAAAUCAUUUAAAUUCAUGAAAAGCAGCCCUUUUAUUAACAACAACACAGCCCCACAAAAUGUAGAGUGCCAUUAGUGGAAUAUUAUUAAGCCAUUUUCAAAAAUCUAUCAGCAAAUUUCUGGUGUGACGAAAGACUUAAGAAUGGGAGGGCUGGUUUAGUAUUGAUCACUGAUUCAUGUUAACUAAUUAAAUUCAAGCCGGAAGAAUGAAUUCGCACUGGCUUUGGUCUGCUGCCAAUCAGCAGUUGUUGGGGUGGGGUGAAAGGGAACCUGGGGUCACAAGCCAGGCUGGCUCGAAAUCAGAUAACUGUAGAGUCAGCAUUAAUGUGCUGACUCAUUGCAGUGACUCUGAAGCAUUUCACCCCUCCCUUAAAUGCUUCCAAUUGUGAACAGAGAGAAGGCUGGGCUGGGCAGCAUAUGGACAAGCAGGAGGGACGGGCUGGGGUUCCACAAUCCCAUUCGUGGUGGUCAAAACUGGAGUGUGGGAGGAGACCUGCCCGGGGACCUGUUGAAUCCUUCCAGGUGCACCGUAGCUGCCAGUUUUUGAGGUUUGCCAGUCUCGUUCUUAGGAUCCUGUUGUAUUCAGAUAAAGUCCUUGAAAUUCUUCCCUCAGUUUCCCCAGUUUAGCUUGAUAUCAUGUGGGGCCCCUUAGCUCGGUGGGUGAUGAUUAUCUGGUUCUAAAAAGUUUUGUUUAUCAAUCCAUCUAUUUUAACUUAUAUUUGUGUGUGUGUGUAUUUAUUUAUUUACUUUGGUGAACAGAUAAAUUCUUGAGACAGGGAAGAAAUUGGCUCUGUUAGGCUUCUCUUAGCACCACCGUGCAAUCUUCCACAGUUGUUUCUCCCAAACCUUCUGAACACGCUAGCAAGUUCCUCUCUCUGCAUUCAACUGAGAAAUCUAAGUACAGUUUCUCUGCUCUAAAGGUAGAUCAAGUCCGGUGUAUAAAACGUCCAGGGUGGAAUUGGAAAGUUGCAAAUUUCAAAAGAAGAAAAUGCUUAGUUUUAACUUUUAAAUGAUAGUUCGCAUAGGAAUGGAGAUCAUUCAUGAGGUUAUUUUGAGUUAUUUGGUAGUUAAAUAAUUUCAGAUUUGUAGCUGAAAAGUUAGAGGAGCUGUAUCAAUCACCCUUUUUAGGAAAAGCUUCUUUUUACUGCUUUUAGAGUCAUGAACAGGAAAACAUGCAGCUUACUAAAAAAAUACCGUUGCUCAAUGUUAAUGCUUUUUGUUUUGAUUUUUAAAAAUGUUUAUGUGAAAGUAAAAAAGAAUGUUUUCCCAAAUGUUAUUGGUUAUAUAACAUAUUUGAUUUCUGCAACAUUGUAUGUUCUAAAGGACAGUUGCAAACUAUGUGAGUUUGCAUAGGUCCAUCAAGCAGCUCUCACCAAGAGGGUAGCUCUCUACUGCUGCUGUGUCAUCUCUGGGGCACAGUAGCUCUGGCAAGUGCUAGUGACAACUGCAGAGGGUGAAACAACUAUGUGAUUUAAAGGAAGGAUGUGGAGGGACAAGACAGUAAAACCGCUAGGCAAGGGUGAUGUGGCCCUGGAUCUAGCUCAGGGUUGCACCCCAUCACUCACUCCAGACAUAAGUUCAAGACUGUAGCCAAGUCUUGUAUAUUCAGAGGGACAUGAUGCUACACUGAGGCUGGGCUUAGGCACAGCACUAGAAUUUAAUGGAAAAAUUGAUAGUUGGCGCCAGAACAAAGUAGAUCAGGUCCAGAGAGCCAAAGAUGAGAUGUUCCUCUGAAGCUUAGUGGUUGUUGACUACUGCAUCCUGAGGCUGGGCUGGUAAGGGAGUAGCUGUGACAAUUUUAAUAAUGUAUUGUGUUGCUUAUUACCAUUCUACUUAUUUAACUGAGCUUUCCUUUGGCAAUUAAGUCCCUUUCUAAAUAUUCUGAACUUAAUGGAAAUGACUUACCCCUUUAAGGCUAGCAUAUUUUGGCCUCACUAGAGCCUUAGAGACAGAGAGAAAAAAAAGAGUGCCAAUGAAUUUGCUCACACAUAAAUAAGUUAACCAUAGUGUUAAGAGAACCAUAAGUUAUUCAGCAGUGAUUCAUCCCAUAAACGUGUUUUGAGCACCUACAAUAUACAGAGAACUAAGCAAGGUCUGAACCUAUGUUGGCAAAUGGAAGGUGACAGAAUCUGUUCUUAUGGGUCCUAUAGUCUAAUAUAGGGGUCAGCAAGCUAUGACUCAUGGGCCAAAUCCACCAUCACCUGUUUUCGUAUAGAGCAUAAGCUAAAGUUGAAAAAAAAAUAAGACUAAUAUUUUGUGAUGUGUGAAAAAUUAUAUUAAAUUCAAAUUUAGGUGUACAGAUAUUGAAAAAGUUGUAUUGGAACAUAGUCACACUCAUUCAUUACGUAUUGCUUAUGGCAGGUUUCGUAUUACAGUGGCCAACUUGAGUAAUUAGAGAGCUUUUGGUCCAUGAAGCUUAAAAUAUUUAAUAUCUGACUCUUGACCAAAAAACUUUGUCAGUGGGUUUUCUAAUGAGUUGGAAAAACAUUAAUCAGAUUAUCACAGUAUUAAAAUGUGCAUGUGGUGAGUGCUGGGCAAGAAAGGUGUAUAAACAUAUGAACGUGUAUGAUGAGACCUAGAAAUGUAAUGAUGGUAAGCAGACCCACAGUGGUGUUAAUACCUUCAUCAUUUUUUGUUUAAUUCUUUACAGGAUUCAUAAGAGACCACACUCAAGAAGUGUUAAACAAAUGUGAUUGGUAACAUAAUUCUAGUAAUAUUAAGUGUUUAGGAGUUUCUGAUUGAAUCCCUGCCAAUGUAGUUUGAGAGUUUUUAAGGCAAGAGGGCCAGAAAUAAGUUUAAAACAUCAUAUGAUGCUCAGGCUUUCAUUGGCCAACCUUGGCACUUACUGGUACUGCAACUGAAAAAGAGUACUGACAAACUCAGAGUAUAGAGAAAAAUGUCAAAGGAUAUACACUUUUAAAAAGAGGAAACGGACCGACCCCGUGGCUGAGUGGUUGAGUUUCUGCGCUCCGCUGCAGGCGGCCCAGUGUUUCUUUGUUUCGAGUCCUGGGCGCGGACAUGGCACCGCUCAUCGGGCCAUGCUGAGGAAGCGUCCCACGUGCCGAAGCUGGAGGGGUCCACAGCUGGGAAUAUACAACUGUGUACCGGGGGGCUUUGGGGAGAAAAAGGAAAAAAAAUAAAAUCUUUAAAAAAAAAUGAGGAAACACCCACCUGUAUAGAUAUAUGAAAUAAGGGAAUAUAUUUUUCUCCAUAAAUAUGCAAAAAA
Non-coding RNA from Equus caballus (horse), 9087 nucleotides. NCBI's taxonomy places the organism in Eukaryota, Metazoa, Chordata, Mammalia, Perissodactyla, Equidae. The record is from RefSeq and is a predicted model, not a curated record.